This 671-nucleotide long non-coding RNA is filed under the name Salmo trutta (river trout). RNAcentral describes it as "lncRNA (ENSSTUG00000037978.1)". Lineage: Eukaryota; Metazoa; Chordata; Actinopteri; Salmoniformes; Salmonidae. The record is from RNAcentral.
GGGCCCGUUGCCCUGGACGACGGGCACCCCCUGCUCCUCCAAGCUGCUUCCCAGGAAAUGUCACUUUAUUGUCAAUGCUGCUUAACUGAGAUCCAACGGAUAAUAUUAGUCUCCUUGAAGGCCACCCAACCUCUGCUUUGUUUUCUGCUGCUCAAAAUGGACGCUCAGACUGCGUUAACCUGCUGCUGACUUCGGGGGUGUCUACUGAUGUUUCUGAUUUAAACGAAUUUACGCCUUUACACUUUGCCGCCGCACACGAACACCACAGGUGUGUGGAGGCCCUGGUGUUUGGUGGGGCUGAUGUGGACCAAAGGGCCAUUGGGGGAAAGACCCCUCUGUUCAUGGCCAGCGGAGCCGACAGGCUGGACUGUACCAGUGCCUUGCUCAACGCCGGGGCCGACCGCUCAAGAGCCACCACCGACAGCUGCACGGCUCUCCACGCGGCGUUCAGCUUGGGACAUGUGGACACUCUGCGGCUCCUCCUCUGCCACCCUGCCCCUGACUGUACCCACAUCAUGACCCUAACCCUGACUGCAACCAUAGUCCUGGUCCUGCCACGAUCCCGGUCCUGUUUAGCACCUUGCUCAACCAGGACAACUGUGAGGGCUGGACCACUGCACACAUCACUGCUGCCAGGGGCUUCAAGGUCUGUCAGAGUCGUGUCUGGAUGA